AUCUAUGGCCACACUACAUUUAACACACUUCAUCUUGCCUGUUCUGCAGAGGUAAGGAGGGUUGGACCGGGUCAGUGCUUAGAUGGAGACUGUCUGGAACCUUAGGGUAUUAUUGGUU
This 118-nucleotide ribosomal RNA is filed under the name Ochotona princeps (American pika). The record is from RNAcentral. Lineage: Eukaryota; Metazoa; Chordata; Mammalia; Lagomorpha; Ochotonidae.